AUUCAUUAAAAUAAAUGAGAAUUGAUCAUUUUUCUUAUUUUCAGGUAUUGUUCUUUAUGUACAUCAUGUGCAAAUGAAAGCAAUCCCAGCUAAGAAAAAUGGAUACAUCAUUAAAAAGAUAAACAGAGUUACAUGUUAAUAAAUCAGAGGGAAGUGGAAUGUAUAAGAGCAAUCUCAUGCAGAUUCAGAUCUAACCCUUAAAGAGUUCUGGAAGGAAUACUGCAACAUCAUUUCCUGUGCUGGAUUAAUUGAGAGAUCCUGGGACAUUGUCUCUGUAAGGACACCGAGAUCCGUCUGUAUAAAGGAGAGAAACUUUGAAGGCUGUGUAGAGGAGCCUGAGCCUUUAACUGACCAACCUGAGUUACAACCAGCCCUCAAGAAUGAAUUGAGUUCAUCAGUCAAGGCUCCACUUUAUUUAUUAUCAUUUGUUAUCACAGUCCUUCAUUAAACGUGUGGUAUAGUUUCCAAAUACAUAGAACACAUGUGGAAGCUGUUUGUUGAAUUGAAAAAAAAAAAUCAAUUCAGGGAGAGGUUAACCAGUGAGUUAUAUAAAUUUGAUUUAAUUCUACAAGCAUAUUUUGGAC
This 584-nucleotide long non-coding RNA is filed under the name Fukomys damarensis (Damara mole-rat). Its description in RNAcentral is "lncRNA (ENSFDAG00000025152.1)". Lineage: Eukaryota; Metazoa; Chordata; Mammalia; Rodentia; Bathyergidae. The record is from RNAcentral.